GGGGUAAGCUUCUAGGGUUCCGAUUCGAUCCGAAUGACUGGACCGAGAGAAGCAGCCGGAUCUAAAGAUUCGGUCACACGGCGGGAUAAAAGCCCGGGAGAG
RNAcentral lists this small RNA (102 nucleotides) under Leptolyngbya sp. Its description in RNAcentral is "Guanidine-I sequence". It matches the Rfam family "Guanidine-I riboswitch aptamer". From Rfam's summary of the family: This family represents a conserved RNA structure found upstream of the ykkC and yxkD genes in Bacillus subtilis and related genes in other bacteria. The function of this family is unclear although it has been suggested that it may function to switch on efflux pumps and detoxification systems in response to harmful environmental molecules. Nelson showed that this riboswitch senses and responds to guanidine and it was renamed Guanidine-I riboswitch. The record is from RNAcentral. Lineage: Bacteria; Bacillati; Cyanobacteriota; Cyanophyceae; Leptolyngbyales; Leptolyngbyaceae.